Molecule: ribosomal RNA, 488 nt
Filed under: uncultured Sphingobacteriales bacterium
Lineage: Bacteria; Pseudomonadati; Bacteroidota; Sphingobacteriia; Sphingobacteriales
Description: bacterial SSU rRNA
Rfam family: Bacterial small subunit ribosomal RNA
Source: RNAcentral
CUCAAGAAACUUAAGGAAUUGACGGGGGCCCGCACAAGCGGUGGAGCAUGUGGUUUAAUUCGAUGAUACGCGAGGAACCUUACCUGGGCUCAAAUGUAUGUUGACGUAUUCUGAAAGGGAUACUUCUUCGGACAAUAUACAAGGUGCUGCAUGGUUGUCGUCAGCUCGUGCCGUGAGGUGUCGGGUUAAGUCCCAUAACGAGCGCAACCCCUAUCAUUAGUUGCCAUCAGGUCAAGCUGGGGACUCUAAUGAAACUGCCUACGCAAGUAGUGAGGAAGGUGGGGAUGACGUCAAAUCAGCACGGCCCUUACGUCCAGGGCUACACACGUGCUACAAUGGCCGGUACAAAGGGCAGCUACCUGGUGACAGGAUGCUAAUCUCAAAAGCCGGUCUCAGUUCGGAUCGGAGUCUGCAACCCGACUCCGUGAAGUUGGAUUCGCUAGUAAUCGCGCAUCAGCCAUGGCGCGGUGAAUACGUUCCCGGGCCUU